RNAcentral lists this ribosomal RNA (429 nucleotides) under Pseudomonadota bacterium. Its description in RNAcentral is "Proteobacteria bacterium partial 16S ribosomal RNA". It matches the Rfam family "Bacterial small subunit ribosomal RNA", at positions 355 to 776 of the family's 1533-position model. The record is from RNAcentral. Lineage: Bacteria; Pseudomonadati; Pseudomonadota.
UGGGGAAUAUUGGACAAUGGGCGAAAGCCUGAUCCAGCCAUGCCGCGUGUGUGAAGAAGGUCUUCGGAUUGUAAAGCACUUUAAGUUGGGAGGAAGGGCAGUAAGCGAAUACCUUGCUGUUUUGACGUUACCGACAGAAUAAGCACCGGCUAACUCUGUGCCAGCAGCCGCGGUAAUACAGAGGGUGCAAGCGUUAAUCGGAAUUACUGGGCGUAAAGCGAGCGUAGGUGGUUCGUUAAGUUGAAUGUGAAAGCCCCGGGCUCAACCUGGGAACUGCAUCCAAAACUGGCGAGCUAGAGUAGGGCAGAGGGUGGUGGAAUUUCCUGUGUAGCAGUGAAAUGCGUAGAUAUAGGAAGGAACACCAGUGGCGAAGGCGACCACCUGGGCUCAUACUGACACUGAGGUGCGAAAGCGUGGGGAGCAAACAGG